AUCGAAUCCAGCUGGCUGUGCAAGGCGUGGAAGGAGGGUCUCUUGGAGGGCUCAGCGGCCCAGCAGUCCAUCAUGAUGCGACUCACACAGCCCCUCCUUACCUUAAUAAUCCGAGCCAGUCCAAAGUCGGCCACCUUGCAGACCAGAUCGUCUCCCACCAGGAUGUUCCUGGCAGCCAGGUCUCUGUGGACGAUGUUCCUGUCCUCCAGCACUCACAGGAGAGGUAGGACUUGAGGCUUCCUUUGCUCAUGAGCUCGGUCACGAUGUAGACCGGCUCUCCUCUGGAGCACAUGGCCAGCAGCUGGAUCAGCUUCGGGUGAUGGAGGCUCUUCAGCGCCUGAACCUCCUUCACAAACUCGUCCUGCUUUGUGUCCUCUGGAGGAAGAGGAGGAGGAGGAGGAGAAACCUUGGGUUGUCGUGAUCACAAUGCACCAGCUAAUACCUGCAGGCCCACAUUCCAGCACCUGCAGCGACACACCGCAGCCUGUGCCGUUGUCAGUCUGCGCACAGCUUCAAAGAGUGAUCGAACACCAGAGCCAGCGUCCCGGCACUCGUACCUUGUUUCAGCAUCUUUAUGGCCACCUUCUUGUUCUCUGUGGUCCACAGAGCCUCCCACACCUCUCCGAAGUGCCCCUCUCCCAGCUUCUUGUGGAGCUUGAACUCCUCUCGAGGCCUCUCCCACGGCUCCAUGUCGAACAGCUCGCGCUGCACAGAGACGACAGGUUUGAAGAUGCAUCGACUGAUCAUCAGCUUCAUCAUCAGGAGGCAGCAGCAACAUUUUCCAUGUGAAGCUGAAGCACAGCAGGUUGCUGAGGUGACUGCAGCGAUCACGGAUCGCUGUGUGUCACCAUCAGCUGGAUCAGUGGAGGCUACGCACACGACAGAUUCAGCUGUUAAAUCACUGUUGGUGAGUCAAACUCAGAUACUCACAUCUCUUGUGUUCUGAGUACAUAUGUACAAAGUCGUGAACAGAGUUAAAUUACACAGCUGUGAGUUUUUAGCAUAGAAAUCAAACCUAAACCUGACAGAGUUUAUUUUAGGACGAGUUUUCAAAGUCUGACAGUGAACUGCGCUACAACUUCAGCCCUGUUUAUUCUGCCUGCAACUGAACACUAAAGGUGUGUGUGUUCAUUAACGGGCACCCAAAGGUGCACACACAGGUGAACAAUGAAUUACAAUACAGUGAAACACAGUUGUAGUAAAAUGUCUGUUAUAUACUGUACAUGUCCUCAUAUCUGCUAACAGCUACAUUAUAGUUAUGUAUAGUCAUGUUAUUGUUGUGCUGCUGUUACUUUGUGAUCAAUAAAGUUAU
Long non-coding RNA from Toxotes jaculatrix (banded archerfish), 1312 nucleotides. RefSeq lists it as uncharacterized. Lineage: Eukaryota; Metazoa; Chordata; Actinopteri; Toxotidae. The record is from RefSeq and is a predicted model, not a curated record. The transcript has 7 exons.